Cercocebus atys (sooty mangabey) is the source of this 3000-nucleotide long non-coding RNA. RefSeq lists it as uncharacterized. The record is from RefSeq and is a predicted model, not a curated record. The transcript has 3 exons. Lineage: Eukaryota; Metazoa; Chordata; Mammalia; Primates; Cercopithecidae.
AGCUCAUGUACCUAAGGAAGCUUAACUGAACGUGGCAACCCGAGCUGCUGUUUUGGUCAUGGAAUCAGAUGUCUUUUGCUAUUCUGAGACCCAAAGAGCCCAGCCUGAAAUAACAGUAUCUGCGGCUUCCCAUGUGUCAACUGCAUGUUUUCCAGCCCAGACCAGUUCCGGUGGAACAAGAUGUGAUCAACCAUAUCAGGUUCUCCAAGUGCAGUGAUUGCUCUUUUGAGAAGAAACUAUUCCUUAUCACCAUUGUGAUGAAUUGUGAGACAAGUGUCUCUGCAUCUGAUGCCCUCUCAUCCUGAGAGGCUGGCAAGCAAAGACAGAGCAGGAAUGAAAUUUAUCAGACACAUGUUUCACUUCUCACUUCAACCCAGAUCAAAAUGGAAGCCUCCUUGGUUGCUUAUCAAAGCCCAUAAGCCAACAAUAUUGAGGUGUUUGCAAGCAAUAACAGAGUCGGAAAAGAGCUCGUGCCUCUUAUACUUCAGGGAGUAUAAUAGACAAUGAUUGGCCUCUGUUCUACUCCCUUUUUUAAAAAAACAGGGAAUAGUGAGAACAUAGUUCCCACUGCCACAAAUUAUGCAAUUGAGUUUCCCACAUUUGGGGAAAUCACAGGGUCAGCACGUCUAGAGUGCAAUGGAUAAACCUCACCCUGGGAAAACCACCUUCAUGAUCAUGGUAUCUCCCCUGCCAGCCAUGAUCAUGAGGCCUCCCAGUCAUGUGGAACUCUACUUGGAGGUACCACAAAGGAAUGCAGAGAUGACCAUGGUGUAGUUUCUGCCCACAAAGAGUGAAUGCUCUGGUCUAUAGAGGAAGCAGUCCACGAAUAACCGCAAGACCACGGCAUGAAGUGCGCCCUAGUGAAGUACGCACUGUAAUGAAGUAUGUGUCAAAUCAGCCGUAAGGGAAGCUAACUGGAGGCAAGGAAAAUCUGCAGAGAGCAAGGGGAUUCGGGCUGGAUCCUAGGACUCUGUAGCAUUUCUCCAGGCCUAGGAGGGAAGGGCACUCCUGGGAAAGGGAAGAGGCGUGAAAAGUCGAAAAGAAGUGCAAAGGUCAUUGUGUAUUUGGUGAGCAGGCUGCAGACUGGCAGAAUGGCAGGGGAGGAGGGUGUGGGGACAGAGAUGGGGGGCCUGCGGGUGAAGGCAGGUGGGCCAGACUGCAGGCGGCCAUGACUCCAGGCUGAGUGGCGGCUGCAGACCAGGGGUGCCAUAGGGAACUGUGCAGCGCUCUUUCACUUGACCUCCGGUCUACAUCCGCUCUCCCGGUCUCCACCCUGCUCUGCCCUUGGGAGGCGGACUACGUGGACUACGCUGAUGGCUGCCCUUUCCCUCUGGCUUCAGGUUGGGAGCCAAGAGGAAGCCUGGCAGGAGGUGGAAGGAGAGAGGAAGGCAAGGUUGGACUAUUUAUGUCCCUGGCUCCCUUCCUGGGCUGGCGGCAUCCCUCCAGCAGGCCCACAAUUCCCGUCAGGCAGCCCCUCCACACAGCUGCUGGCAGCACACGCUCUCAUGGUGGCGGGCUCCAGGCUCUGUGCUUUCCCUGUGGGUGCCCACACCCGCUCACGCCUUCGUACAGAAGCUCUUCAUUGAGCUGUCUUCGCUUUACCUGGUUGGACUGUUUUAUCUCUUCUCUACCAGGACUUGAGCUGAUACAGUCAGGCAGCAAGGAAAUGGGGUGGGAGUGGGGACUACUGAAGGCAUUAGGGGCAAAUGCAGAGAGGGAGGGUGUGGGAGAAGGAGGGGACUGGGGGAUGGUAGGUGGUGAUGUGGUGAAACCGGGGAUAUGAGGGAGGGGCGAUGACGGACUAGACACAGACCACAGCACUUAUGUGAAACCUACGUGUGUCAGGCACUCUUCCCCAGGCUUUCACAGAACUCAUUUAACCCAUACAGAUUCUGUAUGAGACAUCCUAUUUAACAGAUGAGAAAACUGAGGCACAGAGAGGCCAAGUGACUUGGUCAACAUCCCAAACUAGUAAGUGAUGAAGCUCAGAUUGAAACCGAGGCGAGUCCGGUACCAGAGUCAUAUUCUCAACUACUGCACUGAACUGACUACUCUGAUUGAGGUCAAGGAGGAGGAGGACUUCAGAGCUGGGGAUGUUGGGGGCGACAAGGGACUGUGAUGGCAACUCCCAGGAAAGCCAUCUGUGUGGACCGUCAAAAGAAAGCCACCUGGAGAAGAUCUUGCUAUCCUAUACAAACUGCCCCAAGGACAAUGCAUAAUCUUUUUCUUUUUUUUGACAGUGCGUAAUUUUGUACAGGUAUCAGAAGGCAGUAAUCCUCAACAAUUUGGAUCCUUGUGUUCAAAUACAUUACAAUUAGCUCUGCUAUAAUAACUAUGUUCCUAAGAACCUCACAUUUAUUUAACAAAUCAUAUAAAUAGCUAUUUCAAUAUGGGAAAAGGAGGGCUGUGGUUACAGAGUUGAUAAAACUAGAUAAUUUUUUCCUACAGGAGCUUCAACAACAAACAACUUAAUUAUAUUUGUUACCAUCUGCAAAUAAUAAACGGCUUGAUCAGACCAACAAAAGAGAACUAAAAGCAAAACCUGAACAGCACAGAAAAACAACCUGCAGUCACAUUCACACCCACUGAUGGUAGAGAACAGUGCUUGACGCCAGCUGGCCUCCCACCACUCAUACAGUACCUCAGUGUGGCCCUGCACCCAUGCGCAGCCCUUCCUUCCUGUGGGCCCAGGGACUCUCUGAUGGCACUCACAUCCCCACCCUGAUUGGUCCAGAAAAUCCAAGCCCCACUCCUCAUGUAGUCAGUUGCAUAAUACUCAGUUCUGAGAAUGAAAACUUACACUGUCAGGAAAAUAUUGAUCCAUAUCGGUUAAGGUCUCUUGCAGCAGAUAAGAUCAUAAAGACAACCAUGCUCUGGAAAAUAAGGAGUGGUUUAUACAUGUAACCACAGCACAGCACACCCUGUUACUCUUUUCUUUUAGAGACAGGGUCUUGUUCUGUCACCCAGGCAGGAGCGCAAUGGCACAGUCAUAGCUCACUA